AGUGAACGUUGGCGGCGUGGAUUAGGCAUGCAAGUCGAGCGAGAACCGUAGCAAUACGGGGACAGCGGCGAAAGGGACAGUAAUGUGUAGGUACCUACCCCGAGGUCUGGAUAGCUGCGGGAAACUGCAGGUAAUACCGGAUAAUGUCUUCGGACCAAAGGUGUGAUUCCACCUUGGGAGGGGCCUGCAUCCUAUUAGCUAGUUGGCGGGGUAAUGACCCACCAAGGCGACGAUGGGUAGCGGGUGUGAGAGCACGACCCGCGUCAUUGGGGCUGAGACACUGCCCAGACACAUACGGGUGGCUGCAGUCGAGGAUCUUCGGCAAUGGGCGAAAGCCUGACCGAGCGAUGCCGCGUGCGGGAUGAAGGCCUUCGGGUUGUAAACCGCUGUCGUAGAGGAGGAAAUGCAGGUGGGUUCUCCCAUCUGUUUGACCUAUUCUAGGAGGAAGUACGGGCUAAGUUCGUGCCAGCCGCCGCAGUAA
RNAcentral lists this ribosomal RNA (481 nucleotides) under uncultured bacterium. RNAcentral's name for it is "partial 16S ribosomal RNA". It matches the Rfam family "Bacterial small subunit ribosomal RNA", at positions 29 to 523 of the family's 1533-position model. The record is from RNAcentral.